This 398-nucleotide ribosomal RNA is filed under the name Bacillus thuringiensis. RNAcentral's name for it is "partial 16S ribosomal RNA". It matches the Rfam family "Bacterial small subunit ribosomal RNA", at positions 553 to 950 of the family's 1533-position model. Lineage: Bacteria; Bacillati; Bacillota; Bacilli; Caryophanales; Bacillaceae. The record is from RNAcentral.
AUUGGGCGUAAGCGCGCGCAGGUGGUUUCUUAAGUCUGAUGUGAAAGCCCACGGCUCAACCGUGGAGGGUCAUUGGAAACUGGGAGACUUGAGUGCAGAAGAGGAAAGUGGAAUUCCAUGUGUAGCGGUGAAAUGCGUAGAGAUAUGGAGGAACACCAGUGGCGAAGGCGACUUUCUGGUCUGUAACUGACACUGAGGCGCGAAAGCGUGGGGAGCAAACAGGAUUAAAUACCCUGGUAGUCCACGCCGUAAACGAUGAGUGCUAAGUGUUAGAGGGUUUCCCCCCUUUAUUGCUGAAGUUAACGCAUUAACCACUCCCCCUGGGGAGUACGGCCGCAAGGCUGAAACUCAAAGGUUUUGACGGGGGCCCGCACCCCCGAAGGAGCAUGUGUUUUUUU